UCCCGGGUUUUUAUAUUGGUUUCCCCAAAAAAUAAAUUUAAUUUAUAUUAAAAAUUUUUUUAUUUUUUAGGGUUAAAAAGUUGGGGUAGUUUUUAUUUUUAAAAAAAGAAAAAUUUAUAAGGUGGAGUUAGGGUAUAAAUUAAUUAAAAUAAGCUUUAAUAGUAGUUAAUUUUCCCCAGUGUUUUAACGGAAAUGGAUUUUUUGGAUUAUUUUUUUUUUUUUAGAAAAGAAGUAUGGGGGAAUUUUUUUUAAUUCACCCAGUAAAGGUAUUAUAAGAUUAUUAGUAAAUUUUUGUGUUAAUUUGGAUAUUUUUUUUUAGAAAAUAAAAUUUUUAUUAGAAUAAACAAUUUAAUUAAAGAACUCGGCAAAAACUAUUCUCGCCUGUUUAACAAAAACAUGUCCAAAUGAAGAAAUAUUUGGUCUAA
RNAcentral lists this ribosomal RNA (425 nucleotides) under Diogenes singaporensis. RNAcentral describes it as "partial large subunit ribosomal RNA". The record is from RNAcentral. Lineage: Eukaryota; Metazoa; Arthropoda; Malacostraca; Decapoda; Diogenidae.